RNAcentral lists this transfer RNA (72 nucleotides) under Dryococelus australis. Its description in RNAcentral is "tRNA-OTHER". It matches the Rfam family "tRNA". Rfam says of the family: Transfer RNA (tRNA) molecules are approximately 80 nucleotides in length. The record is from RNAcentral. Lineage: Eukaryota; Metazoa; Arthropoda; Insecta; Phasmatodea; Phasmatidae.
CCAUCUUUAGCUCAGAGGUGGAGCACUGGUCUCGUAAACCAGGGGUCGUGAAUUCGAACCUCACAGGAGGCA